GGAAUUUUUGGCAAUGGGCGCAAGCCUGACCAAGCAACGCCGCGUGGAUGAUGAAGUAUUUCGGUACGUAAAAUCCUUUCGACUGGGACGAAGGCGCAAGGUUGACGGUACCCGUCGAAGAAGCCCCGGCUAACUCCGUGCCAGCAGCCGCGGUAAUCCGGGGGGGGCAUGCGUUCUUCGGAAUUCCUGGGCGUAAAGGGCGCGUAGGCGGCUCGCUAAGUCGGGUGUGAAAACUCUGGGCUCAACCCAGAGCCUGCAUUCGAAACUGACGGGCUAGAGUUCUGGAGGGGAAAGCGGAAUUCCUGGUGUAGCAGUGAAAUGCGUAGAUAUCAGGAGGAACACCGGUGGCGAAGGCGGCUUUCUGGACAGAAACUGACGCUGAGGCGCGAAAGCUAGGGGAGCAAAC
RNAcentral lists this ribosomal RNA (406 nucleotides) under uncultured bacterium. RNAcentral describes it as "bacterial SSU rRNA". It matches the Rfam family "Bacterial small subunit ribosomal RNA", at positions 358 to 773 of the family's 1533-position model. The record is from RNAcentral.